AAUUCUCAACCUUUCCAGCUUUUAUUAGUUUGGUCAGGCUUGGAUGUGGGGGUUGCAGGCUUUCAUUUACUCUGCUCUCCUUAAAUGCAUUAGCGGAACUUUUGUGGACCGUCUAUUGGUGUGAUAAUUAUCUACACCGUGGAUGUAAAGCAGUUUUUAUAAGGUUCAGCUUCUAACUGUCCAUUGACUUGGACAAUUUUGACA
RNAcentral lists this unclassified non-coding RNA (204 nucleotides) under uncultured Laccaria. RNAcentral's name for it is "sequence contains ITS2". Lineage: Eukaryota; Fungi; Basidiomycota; Agaricomycetes; Agaricales; Tricholomataceae. The record is from RNAcentral.